Daucus carota subsp. sativus is the source of this 5960-nucleotide long non-coding RNA. RefSeq lists it as uncharacterized. The record is from RefSeq and is a predicted model, not a curated record. NCBI's taxonomy places the organism in Eukaryota, Viridiplantae, Streptophyta, Magnoliopsida, Apiales, Apiaceae. The transcript has 9 exons.
CAUCCCAAUCCUAAUCAGAUUAGGAAAAUUUUAAUGCUAAUCCGCAAGAACAGCGAAUAUACAAAUACAGUCCAGCAAAACCCCUGUCAAAAAAACGAAAACGAGGCCAAGCUUGAAGUUUGAAUCGGGUCGGGUCCGAGUAGUUGUAAUCCUUCCUCUUGCUCUUCUUUACGUCGGCGCCGCCGCUCCCACGUUCCUAUCUUGUCUGGAAGUUCAGUGUUUUUAGGCAGCAAGCAUACAUAAAUGCGAAAAAAACUGGAAAUCCAACCAAGAUUAUAGCCACUUUCCCCAUGAAAUCCGGGUCAUAUCCGAAAUGCUCUUCCAUAUAUGCCUUGACAGUUGGAUGAGGUAAUGUGAUCGUUUGGACUGUUUCGGUCACAUCACCAAAUUGUGACACUAUCAAUCCGUAAACAGUCCAUGCCAUUGGACAUAUGUAGUAAUACCAUAUCCAAUACUUCGGGAUUUUCUGAUUUCAAAAUGGGAAUAAGAAGAGAAAGGAAUAAAGUUAAUAUUGAGAGGUUGUCCCCUUGUUACAACUAAAUAGGGUAAUAAAUAGAAGGACUUACUGGUUUGGGGAUGUAGAAACCAGAGAAAAGAUUGAAGAGCGAAAAGAAAGUACUUGAAACUAUUGCUGCUAGUUGAGGGUUUGGCGUGAUGGACACUGUCAUCAUUCCGUAGUAUAUGAAGUAGAGAAAUGUAAAAAAGUUGAUGAAGAAGAACCAGCAGACUUUGGUGACAGUCCCUUCAAAUCCAACCAUAGGAUACACUAUUAUAGUAUAACAUAUUGUUUGAAUAUACACAUAUGGUAUUUCCACACAUACCUGCAUCAGUUUCAUAAAAAAAUUCUGUUAACAAGGUGAACAAAGUUUCUGACCGUAUAGGUAGAACUAAACUUGACUGGAAUUCUGAAUGUAUAUUGAAUACUAAAAAUGCAAUGUUGAUUAUUACAUGUGCACCUACACAUACGUAUUGCAGUUUAUUGUUUUUUCUAAAAUAUGCAAAUUACUAUUAGCUGCAUAAUAGGUUUUACUUGCAUUAACUUUUUUCAAGCACAACAGUGUCUUUAUACUGUCAUGUGUUCACCUGUGCCAUGGCAUAUGGUAUUGAAGAGUACAUUCCUGCAGCUCUUUCUCGAUAAAACACUGUUCUUUCUACAGCUACCAUCGGCUGUACUGUCAAGCAAUUAUUUAUUCCAAUAAACAGCAUAGAAUUAUACAUGGAUCCAAUGAUUCUGGUGAGCUGCUCGUGGCUACUUUUCCUAGAUGAUUGACAUAAAAUGAAGAAUUAGCAUGCGAGAAGGGACAAGGAUACUAUUUUAGCAUUUUAGUUAUCAUUACUAGCUUGUAAACCUUGCAAUGCACGGGCCAUGAUGUUUAUAUUAAUAUUUAUAUUUUUAAUUGGAUAAAUAAAUUAAUAAAUGGAAAUAUGUUUAUUUUUAUAGUUAUUUUGAAGGUUAUUAAUAGUAGUUAAUAUCUUGUAAUAUUUUUUUAAAAUUGGAUUAUCAUUUAAUAAAUGCAAGUAAAAUAAUGUACAAUUACCAAAAAAUUUAUAGUUUAAAACUUCAAAUUUAAAUAGGUAAUUAGAUUGCAGUUAUGUUAUUAUAUGUGUGUGUGUGUGUGUGUGUGUGUGUGUGACAUUGUUCCAUUGAGAACCAUCUUAUAUGAAGUCUUGUAGAGAACCAUUUGGUUCUACUUUUUAUAUGGAAUAUUACUAAGCAUAAUGUAUUAAUAGAAUAAUGUACUAGAGUAAGAGUUGAGACAGACCUUUCACCAACUUUCCAGAAAACUGUCCCAACAAUAAGUGCACUAGUCAAGGUGAAAAAGUAUCGAACAAGGUUAUAAUCAGGACUUCUCCAAUAGCUAACCCAUUGUUUCCAUAAGCAGGACUCCAGUUGCUUCCAUGUAGACUGAGGAUAUUUGGUAGGGAAGUGAAGGUCAUUAGCUCCUGGAGAAGGUUUAGACAGCUGCUCAACUAGAACCUUAUUUCUUCUGCUCAUUGUUACACGUAUCUCUCAGAGCUUCAACAUGAUACCUCAUAUACAAUGCUAUUAGAGUAUAAGUUAUAUACUUACUGGUAUAAUGCUGAUGAUUUGUAGUGUCUGGCAAAGUCAACCCCAAGACGGUGUUCUGUAGCGACCGAACUUACUUCAAGCAUCCAUGUCGCUGGAUUGUAUUCUUCUUUUAUUUUUGGCACCCCGGUAAUCUCCUGUAGUAGGUGGUGAAACUCUUACUUUUCUUAAGGUAGAAAAACAAAAGAAAGUUUAAAACUAUCACAUGGUUUAUUAAGUGAUUAUAAAGAAGACCAGUACCUCAAAAUAUCUGAUUACUGUAUGAGAGUUUCUGCCCAGCGGUCCAUGGUAGAUCACUUGUCCUCUGCUCUUAAGAAGAAGCAACUGAUGCAAAAUAUGAUAUCAGGAACACUGUGGGCUGAGAGAGCUAAAAUGCUAAAUACAAAAGUUUUCACUGUUACCUCAUCAAAUGCUUCAAAGAUGUCAAUACUAGGCUGAUGAAUUGUGCAAACAACAGUUCUCCCAGUGUCCACUGUGUUUCUAACUGUACGCAUUACAAUUGCUGCUGCUCUGGCAUCAAGACCAGAAGUUGGUUCAUCCAUAAAUAUGAUUGAUGGAUUAGCAACAAGCUCCACAGCUAUUGUCAAUCUCUUUCUUUGUUCUGUUGACAAACCAGUGAUCCCUGGAAGGCCCACAAUAGCGUCCUUCAGAUUGUCUAGUUCCACCAGACUGAUUACUUCAUCUAUAAACAUCUUUGAAAAAUCAGAAAAUAGUUAGUGUAGUCUACAAUCUCUAUCCCCUUUUAUGUUGGAAUUGUAAGAUUAAAUCAUUGUGUUCUUACCAUCUUUUCUUCCUUGCUUACUUCUGUAGGUAGCCGCAGGAAGGCCGAGUAAAUUAAAGACUCAUGAACUGUAACUUGAGGACAUGAUCAUUUGCAGAUAUCAUUAUCAACCUCGUGGAAGGAUGAAACCCAAAAGAAAUAGUAGUAGCAGAGCGAGACUUCCACCAGUGUUUGCCACGACGUUGGUUCUACCCACUCCACAAACAACCCUAAAUGACCCAGCAGCCAUCUGUUGGAUUAGAAAUACCAAGAACAGUUGGGUGAAGAACCUGAAAAGUUAACACACACACCAGAUAAAUCGUCCUUUUCUUGUAGCAAAUGUUAGGGCAGCUUGACUAAAUAAAAUUACCCCACAUAGAAAAUUUUACUUAUGUAAAACCUAUUGGAACUUGUUUGUAGAUGGGGGGCAUUUACUCUAAAGUUACCUGCUAGCUUCAGGGGCAAAUCCAAUGGUGUAAUAGGUUACUGCCAACCAAACUGUAGAUUCUAAUAAAGAUACUGGAAUAUUUAGCACAAAGGUUGGAAGUGUAACGGUCCACAGUGGGUAGAACAGAUGGUCUCUUUGCUUGAAGAACACAGGAAGUCGCUGCAUGAUGAUUGCAAGUUCUGAAAAACCAGUAAACAUAUUGCUCAUUAUUACAAAUGUAAGAGCGCCAAUAUAAGCUGCACCGUCAUCCUCAUUCCUAGUGUAUGAUGUAGUCCUCAUAAACACUGUUGCAGUGAUGAACGCUAGAAUUAUUACGUGGACCAGCUUGAAUGCGUAGAUAAAAGAAUUCCUUUUGAAUAGUAACCAUUCUCGGCCAAAUAUGGUCUUCAACAGCUCCUUCUGAGAAACCAAAUCUUUCUUAAACACAAGAGCACCCUUUUGCAUUCUAUCCUUGUCAUAUUUUACACACAACUCAUCUGCAAGUCUCAAGCCUACAUGAAAACUUUCGAAUCGAGCUGCAAAUUCAACGACGGAUAUGUAUUUAUAAGUUUGAGUUCUGUCAGCCCAGUAAUGCUCUUGAUUCUUCUUCGAGGUAACCUGAAUCCAACAAAUAUCUUCAGACCAUGCCUGAACUGAUAUAAUAUAAAGCAGUUCUGGAUUUAAAGUGAAGAACCAGUCAGCAAUUCCUUUUCGCUCUGGACACUUGAAUCCACAGCUCUCGAAGAAAUCGAUGACAUGCUCUCGUGGGCCCUGAUAGACAAUUUGCCCCUCUGAUAAGAGAAUGAUAUCGUCAAAGAGAUUGAAUAUCUCUGGGUCUGGCUGAAGGAGGGAAAUUAACACUGUAGCUUCUGUCUGGUGGACAAUCUGCUGCAAGCAUUUCACUAUCUGAAAUGCUGUGGAGCUGUCAAGGCCUGUGGAUAUGUCGUCCAUAAAUAGAGUCUUUGUUGGCCCAACAAUCAUCUCUCCUAUGAAUUGUAGUGAUAAAUGAGGCUGAUAAUGUGAAGGACUUCAUUUGCAAGCUUAAUAAAGUACCAUAUCGUGGUCCAACACCCUGGCACCUGGAAGAAAAAUUUAAGGUCUCUUUUACGGUCAUUUGUCCGUCAUGAAUAUCAGUCUGGCUAAUGUAUGAUGAUGUUUUCUGUGGCACAAAUUCGUCCAGUCUAUACCCAUUGUAAGUGAUUUCGCCUGUAACCUGUAGCAAGGAAUGUGUGGUACAAAAAUAAGAGCUUUUUUAUACAGUUUUCAAAAAUGUUUGACAAAUCUGUAUAUCGAGACAAGUCAUUAGGAAUUUUUUUUAACCAAGACAUAAAGAGGUAUGAAAAAAAGGAGAUUGUAACUAACUUUUAAGGUAGAGUUCAGCAUGCCAGCAAGAGCCAAUAAGAGGGUUGUUUUCCCAGAAGAAGGUGGGCCUAGUAGGAGUGUCAUCCUGUCACAACAUUUGAAAAUUUUGAGGGGAUUCACUAAUAUCUGUCGAUAUAUUUAUCAAUCUUAGUAUAGUCGAUCUUUGCAUGCAUCUUGUUCAUAUGUAUGUUUAUCGAUAUAUGUAUUUAAGUGUAUGCCAAUACCUUGCUGGUUUAAUGAUGCCACUUGCAUCUUUUAGAAUCAUGUGUUUUGCUUGCCCUGCUAAUUUAAUCCCAAGGCAGCCACUCAGGGCUGAUUCGGCAACAUUCCAAGCAACAUUUGGCAAGGUGGGAAGUGCUCGAUCUCCGAUCAAGCAAUUGCCUUCCACACUUAAAUUCUGAAACCUGACUUCUACUUUUGGCAAGUCAAUCCCUGCUCUACACCAACUCAUGCCAAAUCGAGUUAAUAAAGAUGUUUGUCUGGAAUGGAGUGCUGGUAAAAAUUGGAUGUCUCCUCGUUAACAAUGUCCAGAAUCUGCAUUCUUGUUUGAUGUGACACUGGGAAAUAUAAUAUUUGAACUUGAUACAAAGAAGAAAAGUUAUAACGACAUAAACAGGAUAGAAAAUAAAGCUCAAUUAAUACAGUUUGCAAAAUAAAAUGGCAGGACACCCAACAACUUUUUUCGGGGAAGGAAAUUUAUUUGGAGUCAUACAUAUGUUUUACGGUGAAGGGAAUAUUUACAAGAAACAUUUGAAAAAAGGGUCAGGUUGUACAAAUGAAAAACAUUAAAGCUUGAAGAAGUGGUUAUUUCGGAAUAAACAUGUGAAGAUCUCAACAACACCUGCAUCAUGAAGAUCCUUGUAGAAUUUUCGUAUAAACUCCUCAGCAGCCUCAUCCACGCAACUUUCCUCCUCAUGCACUUCACCUAUACGGUAAAGCGAGUCCGGUAUCCUCCCCACCGGACUCCUGACCACCUCAUGAUCACUUUGCAGCAUCUCCAGCGCCUUCCUCACCGCGACAUUCACACUCAUCUCGUCGCCAUCUUCCAAUGUAGGCGUGGCAUGAGCACAUGAGAAGAAGCGGUGACUGGUGCUGCCAUUGCGCCUGCUGUGAAGGCGAAAGAGAGGCGUGUCACUGCAGCUGAAUAUGUACUCUCCAGGUAAAACAGAGAGUUGCUGUUGGCUGUCUGCGAUAGUCAUCUUGUCAUGUUGGUUAAACAUGAGGCUCUGAAAGGCCUUUCGGGCUAGCUUGCCGCGCUUCAGCAUCAUUUUGAUAUCGAGCAUGAUUUUUUUGUGGGAUUUAUCUUUACGGAACAUGAAAUACAAUGCACGUACCAUGCUCCA